ACAGACGAGACCCAGGGUUUAAUGUGACACCUGCUUCCACACCGGCAGAACAUCUGGAGACCAGCGCACCUUUCUUGUCACUCAGGUCCCGUUCCGUGUCCGGGUUGUACAGCUCAUCGUCCUGAUCCGGGGCUUCCGUCAGCAGGUCCUCCAGCACGUUCAGCUCGCCGUCUGAAAAACAACAACACGCUUAGAACACCGGAAGGUUCUGGACAGCAACAGGUCGGCUCCUUUCAGACCGAGCCGGGCCAACAUCUUCCAGCUGGACCGAGACGGACCAGUACCUUCCACCUGGAUCUAUGCUUUCCAGGCAGAAAGUCAAAGUUCAGUCAGGGAAGAAAAACGUCAAAAAAGGGUUCCACUUCCUGGAACAGGAAUAAGAGAAUCUUUAAAAGACAUUUGAACCUGUGGUUUCAACAAUCUCUCGUGUAAUCAUCACAUGAUCAGCAGCUGGAUGGCUCUGUGGGCUGCAUGCAGGAGCGGCACAAUCCCAUGUUCGAUUCCCAGGGGCCACGAUUAACUUCACCCAGUGUGGGUCCUUGGGCAACCUUUACGCAACUGCCCAACUAUGUAACUACAAGAGCUCAAGUCUGGGUCUCCCUGUGCCGGUCCCCAGCUCGGGUAAAAUACAGCGUUGUGUCAGGAAGGACACCCAGCGUAAAAGUCUCUGCCAAACCACCUGAGCAGCUCGGUAGAAGCGGGUUGGCUGUGGCGACCCCUGAAGGGACAUGCAGAAAGGUGAACAACUGUAUUUAUUUCUGGAGGUUUGGUUUCUUUUGUUUCCAACACAUCAUUGACCUCCCAGAGGACUGCAGAUGGAGAUUGGCCUUUGGCUCGUUUACAUUUGAUGUUUAUGUUUCCAAUAUCAUAAAUAAAUGUUCAGAAACAGUUUGAUACGUGGAGCGCUUGGUGCUUGUUGGAGUUAGUCCAUCCAGUCCAUGUUUAUUCUGGAAAAGGUGUUGGGUGUUUUUCUUUGUCUCCAUGUGGAUCCGUCAGGUCAGGCCCCUCUGUAGGGGCCAGUCCAUCCCCGUACAACCAGGGGCUCUUGGCUUUUAUUGAAAGGAGAAAGUGGAAGCCGUUUCUCUGUGCUUUUGGACUGAAACACUUUAACAAAAACUGAAAAAAAUGAUGUUUUGGGCAGAAUUUCAGGAGGCAGCCAGAGGCUGAGGUUUCAGUUUGAGGGCUUCAUGGGGCGAGUGGCAGAUUAAAAAUAUAUAGAUGUAUUCAUGCAGAAACACAUUCAGUAGAAAUAGCUUUUGACAGACACUGAUCCUGCUAAUUGUCCCACUUAGAAAUGGGAGUCCGGUCUGUAGUGUUUAAAAUGGAACCACUUCACUGCAAAAAAGGAUCCAGGUGAUCAAUUAGUUUGACUUUUAAAGAAUUUAUUCCAGGGGUCAGCGACCUUUACCACUCAAAAAUCGUUUGCAUCAGUUUCCUACAAAACACAGGAAGCAGCAGCAGCCUUUGGAAAACCUGGAGUUUCCAGAGAAUGACAUCAUCUCACUGGUUUUUAAAGUGAAGUGAAGAAAUGUUUAUUUUCCCUCUAUCCUCCGUCAUUGAAUGGGUUCUGAUGAGAACUAUUUCCUGAAAGGCCACAAAACUAGCAAAUAUGUGGUAAUGAACCAGCAGUUAAUCUGCGUUUCCAAUAGAUUUUUGUCAACAAACAACUGUUUUUAUCAUCUUGAUCGGGGGCCUGU
Long non-coding RNA from Oryzias latipes (Japanese medaka), 1697 nucleotides. RefSeq lists it as uncharacterized. The record is from RefSeq and is a predicted model, not a curated record. NCBI's taxonomy places the organism in Eukaryota, Metazoa, Chordata, Actinopteri, Beloniformes, Adrianichthyidae.